Small nuclear RNA from Suricata suricatta (meerkat), 116 nucleotides. Its record names the gene U5. It matches the Rfam family "U5 spliceosomal RNA". From Rfam's summary of the family: U5 RNA is a component of both types of known spliceosome. The precise function of this molecule is unknown, though it is known that the 5' loop is required for splice site selection and p220 binding, and that both the 3' stem-loop and the Sm site are important for Sm protein binding and cap methylation. NCBI's taxonomy places the organism in Eukaryota, Metazoa, Chordata, Mammalia, Carnivora, Herpestidae. The record is from Ensembl.
UAACCCUGGUCUCUCUUCAGAUUGUAUAACUCUUUUGCCUUUUACUAAAGAUUUUUGUGGAGAGGAACAAUUCUGAGUGUUUACCCACUUUUUUGAAGACUUGUGCUUGCAGGGAA